Long non-coding RNA from Homo sapiens (human), 342 nucleotides. Ensembl annotates it as GUSB pseudogene 5. Its record names the gene GUSBP5. NCBI's taxonomy places the organism in Eukaryota, Metazoa, Chordata, Mammalia, Primates, Hominidae. The record is from Ensembl.
UACAUUAGGGUAAUUACAUUAGUGUCAAGAUAUGCCAUAAUACUGAGAAUGGAGGAGUCUGAGGCCCUGGUCCAUCAACUGACAGCAUGAACUUCACGUCAAGAAGUGAGAUUGGUGAAUAAGUGAAGACAGAAGGAAAAUUGGAGAUACAGCUGGAUGUAUGAACCCUGCUCUGAAAACACUCUUUAACGCUUGUACACGAGAGUCCAGCAGGACUGUGGCCCACCUCAACAGAAGAGGAACUGUGUGCUCCGUGAGGAUGUCAUAGAUUCUGCCUUACCAGUAUGGAAAUCCUGAAAACACCAUCAACUCUUCAUCAUCACUAAAUUCUCCUUUGUCACA